RNAcentral lists this ribosomal RNA (486 nucleotides) under uncultured bacterium. RNAcentral describes it as "bacterial SSU rRNA". It matches the Rfam family "Bacterial small subunit ribosomal RNA", at positions 17 to 518 of the family's 1533-position model. The record is from RNAcentral.
UUAUGGCUCAGGACAACGCUGGCGGCGUGCCUAACACAUGCAAGUCGAACGGAGAAUUUGUAGCAAUAUGAAUUCUUAGUGGCGAACGGGUGAGUAACGCGUGAGCAACCUGCCCUUCAGAGGGGGACAACAGCUGGAAACGGCUGCUAAUACCGCAUAACGUAUAUUUGCGGCAUCGCAGAUAUGCCAAAGAUUUAUCGCUGAAGGAUGGGCUCGCGUCUGAUUAGAUAGUUGGUGAGGUAACGGCUCACCAAGUCAACGAUCAGUAGCCGGACUGAGAGGUUGAACGGCCACAUUGGGACUGAGAUACGGCCCAGACUCCUACGGGAGGCAGCAGUGGGGAAUAUUGGGCAAAUGGGGGCAACCCUGACCCAGCAACGCCGCGUGAAGGAAGAAGGCUUUCGGGUUGUAAACUUCUUUGACGAGGGACGAAGAAAUGACGGUACCUCGAAAACAAGCCACGGCUAACUACGUGCCAGCAGCCGC